Paramacrobiotus metropolitanus is the source of this 2954-nucleotide long non-coding RNA. RefSeq lists it as uncharacterized. NCBI's taxonomy places the organism in Eukaryota, Metazoa, Tardigrada, Eutardigrada, Parachela, Macrobiotidae. The record is from RefSeq and is a predicted model, not a curated record. The transcript is spliced from 10 exons.
UUUUCCACUGGAGCCAAAGCCACAUUUCUGUUAACGAUUACUCCGCUAAUUGCAGAAUUUAUGAAUUUCUUGUACACGAAUUUCGGGGCUGCUAUAAACAACGAGGGUUUGAGUGGAAAAAGUUGGCCUGAACUUCUCAAAGAAUUUUUCCACCUUGUCAACGAAUGGAAAAUCAUCGCCGUACAACCUUGAAGCCGGACUCGCAUGGCCGGAAAUAUUUCAGUUUCCGGUAAUAGUGAUCCAAUAACGCGAGAGCAUCACUGAUGGACUUUGCACCAUUAACUGUGAUCUUGCCGUUGCGGUACACUUGGCAGUGCGAUUUGUAAGGACGAAUGGAACGGAGAAGAAGCCCGGAAAAUUUAUGUGGUGCAUAAUGAGAAAGCGGAGCGCGUUCGGAUAAGCUGGGGAUUUGAUGGAUACUUCAUUUUGAAUUAUCUCGUGAAAAACGGCGUUAUUCCACGUCCGCUUAUUUUCAACGGGAGCAAGGUUAUGCAGAUGGACGUGCCCAAACUCAAAAUAAAAUUUCGUGACUCUAUGAACUAUGUACCAUCAUCGUUAAAAAAUUUUGCGAAAGCAUUUGGUUUGCAAGAAACCAAAGGAGAUUUCCCACACAAACUUAAUAAGCCUGAAAACUGGAAUAAAAUAAUUGCUUGGCCCGAUCGUCAUGACUAUGGCUAUCAGUCUAUGAAAAGAAAGAACGAAAGCGCUUCAUGAAAUGGUACCGCAAAGAGCGACGCCGUCACAGGAACAAAUUCGACUUUAAUGCACACUUUAUCAAGUAUUGCUCACAAGAUGUCCUCAUUUUGCAACAAGCGUGCGAAAAAUUUCGAGCGCUUUUCCAACAGGUAACCGAUGGAUUAUGCCCAUUUGCGUCUGGACUAACCACACCCGGCAUGUGCAAUUACUUUUGGAGAGCGCGAAUGCUGAAGGAAAACCAAAUUGCGUUGAUCGGCCCUCCUGGUCAGGGCAAAAAGUCAUCUGUCAAAGGAGAGCGUUGGCUACGCUGGAUUGAAAUGGAAAAUGAUGUAAAAUUGCAAAAAGAGCAUCGAAUCGGUCACUGGACUGUGGAUGGUUUUGAUCGGGAUACAAAAACCGCUUACGAGUUUUUAGGAUGUAUGUGGCACGGCUGCAGCGAAUGCACAACAAAAAGCACGCUGCAUCCCUUUCUGAAACGGCCAAUGGAGGAAGUCAACAAAGCAACUGCCUUACGCCUUGAAGCUAUCAAAACUAUGGGCUAUUCCGUAGUUUCGAUCUGGGAACACGACUAUGAUAGCCGGCUCACUACUGACCUGGAAUUUCAGAAAAUAAUUCAGUUGACCGGUAUUGAAGAACCUAUGCACCCCGAGACGCAUUUACUGGUGGCAGGACAAACGCUAUCAAGUUGUACCACAAGUGCGAUCCUGGAGAAAAAAUCUAUUCGCUCGACGUUAUCAGCGAAUACCCUUAUAUUAACAAAAAUCUACCUUAUCCGGUGGGACCGCCUGUUAUCAUUACUAAAGAUUUUCCGCCUGUGGAGAGUAUUUUUGGAAUAAUUAAAUGUCGCGUCAUUCCUCCACCGUCGUUGUUUUUACCGGUGCUACCUUACAAAACUGAUAAACUGACUUUUCCUUUAUGCGCUAAAUGCGUGACGGAACGCGUAAACGAACCAUGUUCUCACGAUGAUGAGGACAGGGCUCUGGAAGGAACUUGGUGCACUCCAGAAAUUCAUCGAGCAUUAGAAGUUGGCUAUCGUAUCGAUAAAAUAUACUCGGCUUGGCACUAUCCAGAACAAAUGCAGUAUUUAUUCAGAGAAUACAUUGACCUGUUUUUGAAGCUGAAAACGGAAGCUUCUGGAUAUCCACCACAGUGUCAAACGGAAGAUGAAAAAGACAGAUAUAUUCAAGAAUUCCUUGCUAAAGAAAAUAUUCUACUGGAUAAAAAGAAUAUUGCGAAAAACGACGCAUUGAGAGCUCUUUGCAAGCUUAUGCUAAAUAGUUUUUGGGGAAAAUUUGGUCAACAGGAAGACCGAUCCAACACGGAUAUGGUGGAAAAGAAAGAGGUAUUCCAUGAUUACUUGUUUUCUAACAAGUACGAAGUCGCCGGGUUCGAUUUGGUCACCGAUGAAGUUAUGGCAGUUCAAUACCGCUCCAAGAAGGACUACAUUGCGACGAGCAAAAAAGACCAAUGUUGUUAUCGCAGCUUUUACGACUGCGUACGCACGGCUACACUUAUUAAAAUUCAUGGAAAUGGUUGGAGACCGUUUGUUAUACCACGAUACAGACAGCAUUUUCUACAUCCAUAGAGACGAUUUGCCCGAUCCACCAACGGGAACGUGCUUGGGUGAUUUGUCCUCGUCUUUACAGCCUGACGAGUACAUUGACGAAUUUGUAGCGCUUGGACCAAAAAGCUAUGCUUACCAGACAAAUACUGGAUGUGAAACGAUAAAAGUCAAGGAAUUUACGUUGACACGGCAAGCGAAAAAACAGCUAAACCUGGAAAGCCUGAAAGAGAUGCUACUGGAAAGCCUGGCACCACCGGACCAGCCAAGCGGAAUUACCGUGAAUUAUCCGUUCAACAUAACACGCAAUAAGCGCAAGCUGGAAGUUUCGUCGGCGGAAAUUAACAAACGAUUUAAACUUACUUACUCAAAACGUAGAAUUGUUGACUCUGAUUUUAACACUCGCCCAUGGGGUGAUGUUUCGAUUGAGUAAAUCAUCAACUUCCAGUGCGGUGCAAUUGUUAAUAAAGGUCCUGACACUGUGGCUUGCUCCGAAAAAUGCUUCCAGCAGUAUUAUAAGAAUUAACAUAACAAUAAUGCAAGUCCCCACCACGGCUUCGCAAAAGUUUUUUUUACACACAAUGCGCGCCAUUGUAACAAAAGUCACUUGUUUUUUUUUUCUAGAUUUUAUGCGUUCCGUGGUGCCUUUAAUACUUACUUCCUCCCGAAAGACUGUAAUUAGUUAACUAUUGUAUAA